GAUGAAGAAUGCAGCGAAAUGCGAUAAGUAAUGUGAAUUGCAGAAUUCAGUGAAUCAUCGAAUCUUUGAACGCACAUUGCGCCCCUUGGUAUUCCGAGGGGCAUGCCUGUUCGAGCGUCAUAUUAACCACUCCCGCUUGCGGGGUCUUGGGCUUCGCCUCCGGGCGGGCCUUAAAAUCAGUGGCGGUGCCGUCGGGCUCUACGCGUAGUAAAUUUUCUCGCGAUAGGGUCCCGGUGGAUGCUUGCCAACAACCCCCAACUUCUUAAGGUUGACCUCGGAUCAGGUAGGGAUACCCGCUGAACUUAAGCAUAUCAAUAAGCGGAGGA
This 326-nucleotide unclassified non-coding RNA is filed under the name soil metagenome. RNAcentral's name for it is "partial contains 5.8S ribosomal RNA, internal transcribed spacer 2, and large subunit ribosomal RNA". The stretch from base 1 to 120 matches the Rfam family "5.8S ribosomal RNA", at positions 35 to 154 of the family's 154-position model. The record is from RNAcentral.